This 287-nucleotide unclassified non-coding RNA is filed under the name Hevea brasiliensis (rubber tree). The record is from RNAcentral. Lineage: Eukaryota; Viridiplantae; Streptophyta; Magnoliopsida; Malpighiales; Euphorbiaceae.
GCUUUAUGUCCCUGUGGCAAACCCCAAUACUGCCAUGGAUAUAUGCUAAUGAUCUCAAAAUCUGGUAAGUAUACAGUUUCACAUAUAUUAUUGGCAUGCGCUGGUUCAUCUUAUUGUAAUGCUUGAUCACACGAUGAACAGUCUCAGGAACAUAUUCAAGUACCAAGUUAAGAUACAGCUCAUCCUUCUCCGUCGUUGAAAAGAAGCAAUGCUUGAGAGAGACGACAUUUGGAUGGUCCAGUAGACGCAUUGUUUGUAACUCACGGUUCUUGUACCUUUUGUCUUGG